AAAGUCGUAACAAGGUUUCCGUAGGUGAACCUGCGGAAGGAUCAUUACCAAAAUCCACAACCAACACCCUGUGAAACCUGCCUUGUAUUUGUCCUGGCCCCGCAUUAGAGUUAGUUGAUUAAUUAAUUCAAAAGCGGGGCCAUGGCACACACACAAACCCCUUGGUCAACCUUGCAUCUCAAACUAUAUUCCAAUAAAAUAUAAAACAACUUUUAGCGGUGGAUCUCUCGGCUCGU
Molecule: unclassified non-coding RNA, 236 nt
Filed under: Basidiomycota sp.
Lineage: Eukaryota; Fungi; Basidiomycota
Description: partial contains small subunit ribosomal RNA, internal transcribed spacer 1, and 5.8S ribosomal RNA
Rfam family: Eukaryotic small subunit ribosomal RNA (bases 1-47)
Source: RNAcentral